RNAcentral lists this ribosomal RNA (465 nucleotides) under uncultured bacterium. RNAcentral's name for it is "partial 16S ribosomal RNA". It matches the Rfam family "Bacterial small subunit ribosomal RNA", at positions 28 to 507 of the family's 1533-position model. The record is from RNAcentral.
GACGAACGCUGGCGGCGUGCUUAACACAUGCAAGUCGUACGGUAAGGCCCUUUCGGGGGUACACGAGUGGCGAACGGGUGAGUAACACGUGAGUAACCUGCCCACAACUUUGGGAUAACGCUAGGAAACUGGUGCUAAUACUGGAUAUGUGCUACUGCUGCAUGGUGGGGGUUGGAAAGCUCCGGCGGUUGUGAGUGGACUCGCGGCCUAUCAGCUUGUUGGUGGGGUAGUGGCCUACCAAGGCGGCGACGUGUAGCCGGCCUGAGGGGGUGACCGGCCAUAUUGGGUCUGAGAUGCGGCCCAGACUCCGACGGGAGGCAGAAGUGGGGAAGAUUGCACAAUGGGCGCAGGCCUGAUGCAGCAACGCCGCGUGCGGGAUGACGGCCUUCGGGUUGUAAACCGCUUUCAGCAGGGACGAAGCUUUUUGUGACGGUACCUGCAGAAGAAGCACCGGCUAACUACGUG